CUCUGAGUGAAAUCUCCCUUAAUUUUAGACAUACUGCUAACUUGAUUGUAAAAGCGAAGUGCUAAAGACAGAGGGUACUUCCAUUCCUCUGGACAGGAGGCUACAGACCAGCACUGCUUUACCCACGUGUAUACACAGAGCCACUCUCCAUACAUAUCAGGCUGUCAUCUGAAUCAGGACCGGGCCAUCUUACUUCUGAGAUGUCAAUGAGGAUACGCUGAAUUGAGAGGCAAAAAGAGAUGAUAAUAUAAUAACUCAAGUGAUCAAGUUUCAACUGCCAGAACAAAAAAAGUAACUUUCCAUAGAUAAUACUUUCUCCGUUUACCCGUAUUUUCUACCAAUAAAUCUCUCACGUGUAG
Molecule: non-coding RNA, 359 nt
Organism: Oryctolagus cuniculus (rabbit)
Lineage: Eukaryota; Metazoa; Chordata; Mammalia; Lagomorpha; Leporidae
Source: RefSeq, a predicted model, not a curated record